Molecule: long non-coding RNA, 521 nt
Organism: Tachysurus fulvidraco (yellow catfish)
Lineage: Eukaryota; Metazoa; Chordata; Actinopteri; Siluriformes; Bagridae
Exons: 5
Source: RefSeq, a predicted model, not a curated record
UCCAAACACAAAAAUGAGCUACACGGAGCAACAUCCUACAUCCUACUUUAAAGAAAGAAAGAGAACUCCAUGGGUUUCCGCGCUCCUUUCAACCAAACUCAGUCAGCUCAUGGCUCCUUCAUCUCCCAGUCUGCUGUUCCUGCACCAGCUCAGAAGCAGCUGACAAUCUACAUGUUGGAGUCAGCUGAUCUGGACAAACAGAUCAGGAUGCUGUAUGAUUUAAAAUCUACCCGACUAGGGCCAAACAUAUAACCAGGUUGGUUAUCGAAGGAGAGAACAACUACGACCUGGUCAACUUGAUUGCAGAGCCCAACCGUCUGCAUGCCCAUGUUGAGCAGAUUGCUGCUGUGCUUCGGGCGAGGGAAGCUGGCCAGGACGUGCAUUUUCCUUCACUCAAGAAGAAGAGAAUGAGGAGAAAGAACAUCUAAUAUUUUCAAUAAACUGUAUAUAUUGUACAUAUUGUAUAUUAUAUUUUGUUAAUUUAUAUGUAAUGUUUUAAUAUUAAAAACUUUGAAUUAAAA